AUGGCGGCUGCGCCCGCUAGACCUCGUGCGCCGUCGGCUGCCACUGUCGCCCCGCCCGCCAAGAGGAAGAAGAAGGGCCCGCCAAGUCGUCUCCGAGCGUUGCCGGUCCUUCCGGCCGCGGGCUGGUCCGCCCUCCCGCCGGACCUCGUCCGCCGCGUCGCCGACUGCCUUCUCGCCACCAACGACCUCGACUGCUACAUGGACUUCCGCGCCGUCUGCUCCGGCUGGCGCGACGCCACCGACGACCCCAGGAGCGACCCGUCCGACCCCCGCUUCCGCCCGCGGCGUUGGGUCAUCCUGCUCGACGAGGGCUUCCAGCUCCAGAGCGACGCCGACGGCGUUGACGGCGGCGGCGAGCUGCUGCUCCUGCUGAAUGCCGCCACGGGGCGCUUCAUCCGCAAGAGGCUCCCGCUGCUCCGCCGCUACUACGUCGUGGCCACCACCCUGGGCGGCCUCUUCGUCCUGGCGGACAGGAACCCUUCCCACGCCGCCCGCGUCUUCAACCCGCUCACCGGCGUGCUGGUCCGGUUCGCGGCGCCUGUGCCCGCCGAGAAGGAGCUGUCCGCCUUCGUCAAAAGUGACAGCUCCGGCUUCUGGCCCCUGCUCGGCUUGCUCUGCGCCUCAUCUCGCAGGCCGUGCGUGGCUGGUCCCGACGAUGAAAGUUUCUUCUACGGGGGGUACAAGGCCAAGGAGUACCCUAACUACAAUUCCGCACGGAUGGCGGUCGCAGGUGGUCUCUACACCAACGACGGCACAACUGGAUUCGUUGCAAAAUCAGAGGGCUGGUUCCCCAAGAUCUGCGAUCUGAUUCAUGUCAAUCCUCAUCAAGAAGAUGUCUGGCGUUUCCUGGUUGAGCUUGGUGGACAGGUGCUGAUCGUCGUCAGGCUGCGGGGGCGCGUCAAGGUUUUCAAGUACGACGACGCCGAGCCCGUGCCCGUGGAGAGCGUCGGCAGGCAUGCCAUCUUCGUCGGUCACCAUAGGUGCCUCGCCGUGGACGCCGACAGGUUCCCGUCCGUCGAGGCAGACUGCAUCUACUACAUUGAUCGACGGGGUUUGUCAGCCCACAUCUGCAUGUACAGCCUCAGGGACGAGAAAGAGGAGAGGGUUUCGGGUGGUGCCGUCGAUUUCGUGAAGCCGCACAAGCUGUUCGUCCUCGUCGCCGACCGCCCUUUCACUGUCAUCCAGCUUCUCUGCAACUACACCAUCAACGCCCGGGAUUCUCAGCUGCCGUUGAAAGAAGACGCCGACAACUUUGACAAAAAAGGGUUUUAA
This 1272-nucleotide ribosomal RNA is filed under the name Triticum aestivum (bread wheat). Its description in RNAcentral is "partial small subunit ribosomal RNA". Lineage: Eukaryota; Viridiplantae; Streptophyta; Magnoliopsida; Poales; Poaceae. The record is from RNAcentral.